RNAcentral lists this long non-coding RNA (1090 nucleotides) under Homo sapiens (human). Its description in RNAcentral is "HSALNT0237561". The record is from RNAcentral. Lineage: Eukaryota; Metazoa; Chordata; Mammalia; Primates; Hominidae.
CUCUGGACAACCGGGAGAAUUGCAUUUUCUGAGGCCCACGAUAAGCACCCAACCGUUAAUAUUUCCAUGCUUCUCUGUCCAUCCCAUGGAGCCUGGGGCUUGAGGGACUGUGCAGUGAGGCAGCAACUCACAUCUCCAGCUGUUGGACUGGUCCUGCCAGCGACGUCUGCUCAGUAGAACAAGCAGCACUUCCCCCAGCUCAGCACUGUCUCAUUUCUGAGACUGAACACCCCGUGGUCACUCUACAUGGAUGGGUUAAUUUCCCUUGGAAAAGUAUUGAUGAUCAAGUGAUGCUAGCAGCAACAGUGUUAAAGGCUUUAACGCUUUUAAAGGUUAUUUAGCCACAUAGAGUGAAAUGCUGACCUUUCCUGAGGCAAUUUCAAUAGAAUGGUAGGGUGCGAGAUUGAAUGGAGGAGGAAGAGAAGAUGGGUGACACAGGCUUAAACUGAGACAAUCCAGCAUGGAACACUUGCAGGAAGUACUAGGAAAGUGCAUUUUCUUUCCAUGAGGGUUGCCAAACUGGAAGCAUGUUAGCUAAAGCUACCUGUAGUCAUUUUGUGGCCACAUUGGGUGAGAUUGUCUGAGAAAGCAAACCAACUGAAGCAGAGCAGAGAAGAUACUCUACCAACCUAGUUGGAGCCCUGGUUCCAGCCUUGCCUGAAGCUAAAUGCACCUCUAUGCUUCCUUUUUACUGACCCAAUAAAUUUCCCUAUUUGUUUAAACACCAGGCCCUGAUUAGGUUAUUGACAUUGGCCACAUCAGUGUCACAGAGUUUCUUCACAGCCUGUUUGAUCUGGCACUUGUUGGCUUUGGCAUCCACAGUGAACACAGGCAUGUGGUUGUCUUCUGUCUUCAUGGUGGACUCGGCAGUUGGGAGCCUGACGAUGGAUGGCAUGAUGGUCAAGCUUGUUUCUCCUGGGGGUGCUCUUCUGAAGACAUUUGAGCUGCCUCUGGAACCACAGUGUCUUGGGUCCCAGAAGGAAACUCCAAGGAACAGAGGAGCUCAGAGAAGACUAGAACUCUGUAUUCCGUACCCGUAAACAAUUUGUAUAAGCAAAAUAAAACUUUUUAACUUUCCUCAUCCCAAUCU